This 557-nucleotide ribosomal RNA is filed under the name Hylomyscus kaimosae. RNAcentral's name for it is "partial 16S ribosomal RNA". It matches the Rfam family "Bacterial large subunit ribosomal RNA", at positions 1816 to 2607 of the family's 2925-position model. The record is from RNAcentral. Lineage: Eukaryota; Metazoa; Chordata; Mammalia; Rodentia; Muridae.
CACCUCUAGCAUUUCAAGUAUUAGAGGCAUUGCCUGCCCAGUGACUAUUGUUAAACGGCCGCGGUAUCCUGACCGUGCAAAGGUAGCAUAAUCAUUUGUUCCUUAAUUAGGGACUAGAAUGAACGGCUAGACGAGGGUUCAACUGUCUCUUAUUUUUAAUCAGUGAAAUUAACCCUCCAGUGAAGAGGCUGGAAUAUAAUAAUAAGACGAGAAGACCCUAUGGAGCUUAAAUUAAAAAGCUUAAUUACUGUUUCACUACCCUAAAUGGCAUAAGACAAAAAAUUAUAAGCUUAAAAUUUUGGUUGGGGUGACCUCGGAGAAUAAAAAAUCCUCCGAACGAUAAAUAACUUAGACUCACAAGUCAAAGUAGCCUAACUAUCUAAUUGACCCAAAAAUUGAUCAACGGACCAAGUUACCCUAGGGAUAACAGCGCAAUCCUAUUUAAGAGUUCAUAUCGACAAUAGGGUUUACGACCUCGAUGUUGGAUCAGGACAUCCCAAUGGUGCAGAAGCUAUUAAUGGUUCGUUUGUUCAACGAUUAAAGUCCACCGUGAUCUA